Molecule: ribosomal RNA, 253 nt
Filed under: uncultured bacterium
Lineage: Bacteria
Description: partial 16S ribosomal RNA
Rfam family: Bacterial small subunit ribosomal RNA
Source: RNAcentral
UACGUAGGGUGCAAGCGUUAAUCGGAAUUACUGGGCGUAAAGCGUGCGCAGGCGGUUGUGCAAGACAGAUGUGAAAUCCCCGGGCUCAACCUGGGAAUGGCAUUUGUGACUGCACGGCUAGAGUGUGUCAGAGGGGGGUAGAAUUCCACGUGUAGCAGUGAAAUGCGUAGAGAUGUGGAGGAAUACCGAUGGCGAAGGCAGCCCCCUGGGAUAACACUGACGCUCAUGCACGAAAGCGUGGGGAGCAAACAGG